CAUUACCAUGGAAACCCCCAAAAAUAAAGACUUUCCCAGCCUUGUGAGAGUACACCUGCAAGAGCAAGAACUGCCUAUCAGAAGUGACUUCUUCAUUAUGGGUGUCACCUAAGGACAUUUUGUGUGGACUGGAGCUUCCUGUUGUACAAAUGAAAAAAUUUCCCAAAGAAGUCUGGUGUUUGUAAGAAGAAAUCUUUCCAAAAGUGCACAGGAGUGAUUUUCCUUGGACAUCAGAGAUUCAUGGAAACUCCAGAUCACUUCAGUAAAAUGCAGUCUCACAAGGAAGAACCUGCAACAUCUCAGAGAUCACAGUCUUAAAAAGGAUUCAAACCCAGUGAGCAACUGCAUCUUCCAUAAGUGAAACCCAUCAAUCUUCUAAAAUCAUCUCAUGGGAGGAGAUGUCCACAGUCAGUAAAUGACUGUAACAGCAACCCAGGUUUUAGAAGUCUGUUUUACUCAAACUUCUUUCUGAUCACCACUGUACAUUUCCAAAAGUGUAUUUAUCAUCCAGGGAAAGUCUUCUACAGACCACCAUUAUUUUCAAAGGAAAAGGGAAAAAUACAGCAAGGGCUUCAAAGAUGUGAGUGAAUUAUUUCAUUCACAAGUGCAGCAUGUGCUCUCCCUUCUGUAAUAACACAGUACAGAAAACAAGAGGUAAUUAAUUCAAUUCCUUUGCCAAAUGAGUGGGAUCUUAUAAAGAAUUGGCACAUAAUUCUGAUUUGAGCUUUCUUGUUUUAAACAAAACCAAACCUAAUACAGAACAGUAUAAUGUACUACCACGGUGCUUCACCAUAUUUUUCUUUUUCCCCAAAACAAGUGCCUGCAAAGUGCUGGGCCUGUAAUCAAAGGACACUCAGUGUCCAAACCAGCACUGUUGAUGCAGCCAGACAUUUCUGUGUGCUACAGUACAGUCAGGAAAGUGAACCAAGUAAGAACAUUUGGUCUUUUGUUGUCUUACAUACCAAGACAGAAAAGCAUGGCUCUUCCUCUGUUCUAUCCAAUGAACAGAUGUGGGUUUAAUCACAUACAAAAGAAAAUGCUCACAAGUUUCAGACUGUGACUUUGAUAUUUAGGAGUAAAAUUACUUUCUCAAAUAAAGUAAUUUUCAUCUAAUUAUCUUGAAACUGUCUAUAAAAGGAAGAUAGGUAAGGAAUUUGAUAAAUACACCACAUAGGGUUUCCUUUGGAGUUAUUUUCUUCAGCUGGAGAGAAACCAAAGGUAAUUUUCAUAAACAAAAUCUCAUGGCAAGAAAAGAAGCCUCAGGGUCCAAUAUAGGAAAGUUAUAGGAGAUUCUUCAAUAAAUACAUAUAAGAGAGCAGUGGAAAUUCAGAUGCCUCCUCUGUCUUGCUGAACUCAAAGCUGCAGAUCAACUCAAUACACAAGGUUAGCAAACAGCAGAGUUAGGUAAAACAGAAGCAGAAAAUGCCAUACAAAAGCCCAAAAGGACACCUUAAGGGCUAUAACUUUAAGCUGACCAUCAACCUACUACCCAGCUGCUCUGCCUCCCCCCCAACUCAAAUCACCUCAUAAAUACCUAAGGCAGAUUACCCUUCCUUCUGAGGAGCAUUACAGCUCUGACAAACCCUGAAAUGCAGAUCCAGGGAACACAGAUCUGGGGCAGCUCUUCAAGACACAUUUUGAGAGGAUGUGCAUGGCAUGGAGGUGGUUGGAAUUUGCACCCAGAGAGAACAGAGCUGCCCUUCAGAAUUGUCUGGUUUGCAUGUGGAAGGAGGAGGCCUGAGCAAUGCAGGUGCCAGAAGAGAGCUGGAGCUGAAGGAUGCUCCCCAGAGCUGUGCCUGCAGCAUCCCUGCACGUCGCACACGAAGCCUGCCCCACGCAGGAGCUGUGCAGAGGAAGGGUGGAGGGUUCCUCUCCUCCUGUCCGCACUGAGACAGCACAUCCUGCACGCCUCGCUCCUGCCCCUUCUCCUUCAGCAGGAAAAGGAGGAACCUGCCUUGGGAGGUGCCUCAGCUCCCAGGGAGACAC
Catharus ustulatus (Swainson's thrush) is the source of this 1986-nucleotide long non-coding RNA. RefSeq lists it as uncharacterized. Lineage: Eukaryota; Metazoa; Chordata; Aves; Passeriformes; Turdidae. The record is from RefSeq and is a predicted model, not a curated record. The transcript is spliced from 5 exons.